AUACGAAAGGUGCAAGCGUUGUUCGGAUUUACUGGGCGUAAAGAGAGUGUAGGUUGUUUAUUAAGUCGGAUGUGAAAUCCCGGGGCUCAACCUCGGAACUGCAUUCGAUACUGGUAGGCUAGAGUUUGGGAGGGGUUAGCGGAAUUCCGUGUGUAGCAGUGAAAUGCGUAGAUAUACGGAGGAACACCUGAGGCGAAGGCGGCUUACUGGACCAAUACUGACACUGAGACUCGAAAGCGUGGGUAGCAAACAGGAUUAGAAACCCCGGUAGUCC
Molecule: ribosomal RNA, 274 nt
Filed under: uncultured bacterium
Lineage: Bacteria
Description: partial 16S ribosomal RNA
Rfam family: Bacterial small subunit ribosomal RNA
Source: RNAcentral